UUUUCCUUUAAAUUUAGUCCCGUGAGGCUAAGAAGGAGCGAGAUGUCUCAGGGUGGGGUGCGUCCUCAGUCUGAACUCUAAAAGACUUGCUUUUUUUGUGCGAGUUUCUUUAAGUAACCAUCAACUCCUGUCCUCUGCGGGCAGGAGUUUUUUUGUA
Regulatory RNA element from Aerococcus sanguinicola, 157 nucleotides. It matches the Rfam family "PyrR binding site". From Rfam's summary of the family: This family represents the PyrR binding site and terminator structure. This RNA structure is found upstream of a variety of genes involved in pyrimidine biosynthesis and transport. The alignment also includes a portion of the antiterminator structure. NCBI's taxonomy places the organism in Bacteria, Bacillati, Bacillota, Bacilli, Lactobacillales, Aerococcaceae. The record is from Rfam.